Ctenocephalides felis (cat flea) is the source of this 296-nucleotide long non-coding RNA. RefSeq lists it as uncharacterized. The transcript has 3 exons. Lineage: Eukaryota; Metazoa; Arthropoda; Insecta; Siphonaptera; Pulicidae. The record is from RefSeq and is a predicted model, not a curated record.
AAGUAAUAUGUAUAAAUCUUUUUUCUUUUUAUUUCAGGGUUACAGAAUUGAUUGCUUUUCGCACCACAAAGCACAAGGACUUCCAAAUAACUGCCAGGAGGAUACGCAUAUUUAAAGAUAUCUUUCAAAGAAGACAUUUUAUUGUAUGUCUAUAUGUUUUACCAAGAGAUACACGAACCACCAAGAGACCACUACCGAAUUAAAGGAUAUGUGCAAGUCUUGCACGAGAUUUGGCAGAAAAUAUCAUCAACUCAAAACCAACUAGCACCACUUCUACCUGAACUACCGCCUACAAC